This is a long non-coding RNA of Cygnus olor (mute swan), 1462 nucleotides long. RefSeq lists it as uncharacterized. Lineage: Eukaryota; Metazoa; Chordata; Aves; Anseriformes; Anatidae. The transcript has 4 exons. The record is from RefSeq and is a predicted model, not a curated record.
UACACACUUUUUCUGAGUUGUUUAUACUCCCUACAAAUACUUAAAUAGCUAUUGUUCUGUGUCUGUGUUUAGGGGAACUCUUGUUGCUGUUACCACACAUCAUUGAUCAGGCUUCAGCUGACAAAAUCCUCAGUAUUGCGAAGAAAGCUUAUACCUGAUUGAAGGGAAAACUUCUGAUCCCCGAACUCACAGAAUCUCUGGGAAAGCAGUAAGAUAUGAAAUGGUACUGUACUGUGAUGAAGAGCUGCUGAUUUGAGGUUACACUGAUACAAACAUGGAGAAAAUGAAGAGUUGUUUCCAAAAAGCUAAAGCAGGACAGACAAAAGCAUUGAAUGACUGUAACUGUCCAGGUCAUCCACGUGUUUGGACAGCUGAGUGCAAACGCAUGAGGAUGUGGACUUCUUAUGUCUUCCUCAUUGGACCUCACAAUCGGACUGAUUUUUGUUUUGGUUAAACUGGUUUUCAAUAGUAAAUAUGAACCUGUCAUCCAGGUUUUCAGCUUCAAGUGAACAUGGCUUUGUCUUGUUUAAAACUACAGUGCAUCUGCCAGAGAAAGUCUGUGUCAAAGUUUCCUCGAACUCAAUGACAGUACAAUCAAGCUUUUCACAAAUAUAAUCAAAACAUUUACAACAUGAGAAACAGAGCUACAUGUUACAGCAUUGACUUCAGCAGUCUGCUCUUUUUCCCCCUAGCUACCUCAGUUUCUCCUCUGUUAAUCACUAGUAUUUCUAAGCCAGACUAAAGCUUAGAUUUAUGGUUGUCAUAGUAGCCCAUGGCACUAAUUAGUUUUAUCUGAACCUAGACAACUCAUUUCUUCUCCACCUGCAGAAUCUUCAUACCUGAGGCGAUGCCUUCUGCUUUUUCUGAGGGAUCUAUAUCAAAACACUCAGCUAAGUCCACCGUUCCUUUCUUCACUUCAGACCUGAGGUCAUCUGUCAUCCUUAUAUUUCCUAACAAGCCUGGCAUUAACCAGGUACUUCUUGACAGUUGACUUUACAUUGCCUUUCCAGGACUGCUAGGCUAGACCCAGCCAAGCGCUCUAGGUUCUCUUCAAAGCCCUGGUCACUUGUUUACACAGGGGAUUAAACUAUGCUAAAAUUAUCAUCAUUAGUUUUUUUUUUUUUUUUUUUAAGGUGAGAAAUUCACAUUUGUAGAAUGCCUCAUCACCUUUCUCAGUUUUCACAUAAAGUUCAUGAUAUUAUAUGCUAGUAUUAAUAUUUGAAGAAAGUAUGCAUAAUUUAUGAGCAAUUAGCCUAUAAGUGAUUCCUGCUAUAACGAUGAAAAAAAUCACUGUAUUUUUGUAAAAAGCUAAAACUUUUCUUGUUCUCUUUCCAUUAAGACAAUUAAAUAUGAAUUGCCACAGGAACCUAAAGCUCUCCAUCAUUAACAUGAACAGUUUUUGGCUAUUUUCUGUACUUUUAGAAACUACUCUGAGGAAAUAAAUGAGGAAAAACUAUCUCAC